Long non-coding RNA from Fukomys damarensis (Damara mole-rat), 368 nucleotides. RefSeq lists it as uncharacterized. Lineage: Eukaryota; Metazoa; Chordata; Mammalia; Rodentia; Bathyergidae. The record is from RefSeq and is a predicted model, not a curated record. The transcript is spliced from 3 exons.
GCCGGGAAUAUCAGGAAAAGUUGUAUGACAAGGUUGGAGGACAUGCCAGAAACACAUGGGAGAGCUAUGUGUGAAGUGCUAAGACUGUGAUCAUGGCUUCAGUGGAUGCUCCAGGAACUUGCAAGGACAGGAAUAUGGGGCAGAUGCAGAAGAAAGCUGCAGUCCGCCAGCCCAUGAGACGGCUAUGUAUUCUCCAAAUGGCAAGGUCAUGCAGUGGAGCUGCCCAAGCCCUUUGGAGUUCACAGCUCACCAUUACAGGCUCAGAUGCCAGACUUAAGAGAGGACUUCGAAGAUUAACCUACAAAUUGAAGUAGAAGGGGACUAUUUCUCCAGGGUCUCACAAUAUAGUUGAGACUGACCUGGAACUC